AACGCAUAUUGCACUCUCUGGUAUUCCGGAGAGUACACCUGUUUCAGUAUCAAAAAUGACAUCCAAAAUUUGGUUUGUUUUGCUUAGUCAGACAAUACCGAAUUUUUGGGAUUUGGGCUCUGCUGAAUUUUUGUUUGGCUAGUCUUAAAUAAUUUAGCCACAUUAUGAAAAGUUUUGGGUGAUAAGGCGUAAUAGUUGGGUACUCUUAGGGGUCCAUCCCUUUCGCUGAAGCCUGUCUUUUUUAAUGAAAAUUUGGCUCAAUAAAUAUGGGAAGAUUUGAAAAAUAUAAUUUUUCAACCAUUGUUUAGAUCUGAAAUCAGGUGGGACUACCCGCUGAACUUAA
This 343-nucleotide unclassified non-coding RNA is filed under the name uncultured Endogone. Its description in RNAcentral is "sequence contains ITS2". The record is from RNAcentral. Lineage: Eukaryota; Fungi; Mucoromycota; Endogonomycetes; Endogonales; Endogonaceae.